RNAcentral lists this ribosomal RNA (253 nucleotides) under uncultured bacterium. Its description in RNAcentral is "partial 16S ribosomal RNA". It matches the Rfam family "Bacterial small subunit ribosomal RNA", at positions 524 to 776 of the family's 1533-position model. The record is from RNAcentral.
UACGUAGGGUGCGAGCGUUAAUCGGAAUUACUGGGCGUAAAGGGUGCGUAGGUGGUGAGGUAAGUCGGAUGUGAAAUCUCCGGGCUCAACCCGGAAAUGGCAUUGGAAACUACCUUGCUGGAGGAUUUGAGGGGGGAUUGGAAUACUUGGUGUAGCAGUGAAAUGCGUAGAUAUCAAGUGGAACACCAGUGGCGAAGGCGAAUCCCUGGAAAAUACCUGACACUGAGGCACGAAAGCUAGGGGAGCAAACAGG